CCCCCGUCCGUGCCAGACCCUGACAGACUUCAUUCUGUUUUCUCAUUUCAUCCUUACAAUUCCACAGGCUACAUCCCAUUAUCAUCACCAUUUUACAGGAGAGGAAAGUGAGGCUCACAUUAGUCAGCUUGCCCAAGAUCCAUCACAGAGUCAGCAAUGAGGAUUCAAAGCAGGUUGUCAGGUCUCAGAGCUUGCCUGUCUAAUGUCGGAUGUGUUGUGUGAAGCUUGUGCCUCCUGGAUGGGUCUAAAGCCCCUUGCAAUGCCCAGCACGCACUGGUGCUGUUGGAAAGUCAAGAGAAACCUGCUCAGAGGCAGCAUGAGUCCUAUCCCUUCAGGAGGCCCCGGGUGAUGGUCACAGCCCAGCUUCAGAGCCCACAGCGCAGACUUGAAUUGCAAUGCUCUCAUUUAUCCUCCACAGGACGCUUGUCUCCUCUGCCUUGAUUCCUGUGUCUGAACAAUGGAGGCAGCAAUGACACACAGGCAUUGGGCCCUGCAGUAUUUCAUUUACUCCUAGCUGUAGCUCAGCAGGGUGCAAUGAUUGUUGUCAGUUCUACAGAAGGGAAACUGAGGCUAGAUAGUCAGCGGCCCAGCAGGGCUUUAAUCAGGCAAUAGAAAGUGAUGUCGCAACAGAAUCCAUACACAGCUGUUAAGUCUGACGGGGAACAGGGCCUAGGAGGUGAAGCUUAGGGUUGGAACUGGCACUGGGAAACUCAAGUUGCCAUGUAGUCUUACUGGGGUUCUAUAACCUAUGACCUCAUUUAUCAUUGGCCCUUCCUUACUCUGUGGAUAUAAAGAUUCCACUGGGGACCCAGAGUGUUCGUUCAUUCACCAGUCAAGAUUAAUGUCAAAGAAGGGCUUGGUGAGACAGCACGUUGUUGUUCAGGAGGGGAGCUAGCUCUGGACCAAGGAGUACCUGAGUGACAAGAUGUAAACAACCCUGCCUAGCCAAACACUUGACCAGGGACAUAG
Molecule: long non-coding RNA, 969 nt
Filed under: Mus spicilegus (steppe mouse)
Lineage: Eukaryota; Metazoa; Chordata; Mammalia; Rodentia; Muridae
Description: lncRNA (ENSMSIG00000026184.1)
Source: RNAcentral